Pelobates cultripes (western spadefoot toad) is the source of this 528-nucleotide non-coding RNA. The record is from the annotation of a GenBank genome assembly. NCBI's taxonomy places the organism in Eukaryota, Metazoa, Chordata, Amphibia, Anura, Pelobatidae.
GGGUCAUCUUCUGCUAGUGAGCAGCUGUUUUCAGCAUUGAAUUAUAUCAAAUCUGAUACUAGAAACAGACUAACAGAUGAAUUGAGUGCUGCAUGUGUUGCUCUCAAAUUAACAGUAUAAACCAAGGUUUGACAAAUGUGCAGCAUGUAUACAGCCGCAAAAAUCACAUUAAUUGUGCAAAGCAUGCCAACUGCAAACUUUUACUAAUGCAGUGUUUGUGUCCAAGACACUAAUUUAGGAGUUGUUUAAAGUGUGUUAAGCAAGUUUAGUUUUCCUUGUUUAUUUAUUCAGGUUGACAUUUACUGUAACUGUAGAAGCAGAAAAAGGACCCAGAGUAAGUCUUUCCUUCUAUUUGUCUGGCAUGUACUCAUAUUACAAGUUGAGUAUCUCCUUGUACACAUCUUUGGCACAGUUCACAUGCAGUUUUGGUGCAGCUGGACGGACAGAAACCUGAUGAAAAAUGCAUGUCCAUUGACAUACAUACAAAGCUGCACCAAAACCAGAUGCAAUUCUGAUGUAAACUGUGCC